Molecule: transfer RNA, 72 nt
Filed under: Ictidomys tridecemlineatus (thirteen-lined ground squirrel)
Lineage: Eukaryota; Metazoa; Chordata; Mammalia; Rodentia; Sciuridae
Description: Spermophilus tridecemlineatus (thirteen-lined ground squirrel) tRNA
Rfam family: tRNA
About the family: Transfer RNA (tRNA) molecules are approximately 80 nucleotides in length.
Source: Rfam by way of RNAcentral
CAGGAUGUAGCUUAGUGGUAGAGUGCUUCCUUAGCAUGCAUAAGGCCCUGGGUUCUAUCCCCAGCAUCAUAA